This is a long non-coding RNA of Microtus oregoni (creeping vole), 458 nucleotides long. RefSeq lists it as uncharacterized. NCBI's taxonomy places the organism in Eukaryota, Metazoa, Chordata, Mammalia, Rodentia, Cricetidae. The record is from RefSeq and is a predicted model, not a curated record. The transcript is spliced from 4 exons.
CUGAAAUAGGACUCCUGUACUCUGGAUGUGAGGUGAGGUGGAGCUGGCAGACACCACGCUCUGGCUCUUAACUGGCAGACAUGCAGGACUUACAGAGCCCAGAAGGGAGGCUUCAGAGCUCCUGGAACUGGAGUUAUAGGCAGCUGGACAUGGGUACUACGAUUCAAGCUCCAGUCCUCUGCAAGAGCUGAAGUUACACUGUCUGAGGUAAACGGCUGAGACCCAGGAGAGAAACUGGGGACAAUCAAGUUGCUGGAAAAGAGGGUGCCGGUGUCCCCAAAGCCCACAUCUCUCAACCCUGAUACUGACUGGCCGACUCCAAGUGAAAAGGGGAACAAGAAAGGCAGCUCCCUGUUACCUGCACCCCCAGGCCCCUGGCAGAGACCACUCAGUCCUGUAAGGUUCUGAGCUUCGGCUUUUCCUGAUGUGGAACUGGAUUGCAAUAACAGGAAGAAAGA